CAGGUAGGAAAUAUAUAAUCAACCAUUACAGGUGCAUUCUGUAUUGAGGUAUGUAGAGAGGGAUCUCUUAAAGGACUUUAGGCUUAGGGAAGAUUUUAAAUUGAGCGGGAGGUCAGUCCAUAAUUGUGGUGCUCUGUAGGAGAAGGAGGAUCGGGCCGCUUUCUUUUUGUAUUGAGGUAGGCUAAAUAAAGUGUUGGUACUGGAUCGAAGGUUAUAGGAAGUGGGAACAGCUGGGGAAAGCAUUUUGUUCAGGUAGGGUGGAAGUUUCCCAGAAAAGCUCUUAAACACAAGGCUGGAAAGAUGGACUCCAGCGCCAGCCAGUUUAGUUCUUUAAGCAGGUCACAAUGGUGAGUCCUGUAAUUACAUUGUAUAACUCGUUCUACCGAUUUGUGCUACAAUGUGUUGAGUUUAUUAAUGUGGGAUUGCGAUGCAGAUGCAUAUACUACACCCCCAUAAUCAAUGAUUGGCAUCAGCAUUUGCUGUACAAUCUUUUCCUUUACUGUAGGGCUUAGGCAGGAUUUGUUUCUGUACAGGGCACCUAGUUUUGGAUAAAGUUUAAAUGCAAGCUUUUCUGUGUGCAGGCCAAAAGAUAGAUUGGGGUCUAACAUCAUACCCAAGUAUUUGAAAGAGUGGACUGCGGUCAGUGUGCCAUUUGAAUUUGUUUUGAUUGAUAGGUGGGAAUUGUGUAAUUUGUGUAAUUUAGGUACUGUUCCAAAGAUCAUUGUGACAGUUUUGUCAGUUUUUUUUUUUUGCGAUCCACUUUUCUACCUCUGUAAACUGGUCUUGGAGCACAUUCUCAAGCUGCGGUAGAUUGGAUUUGCUUGCAUAGAUUACUGUGUCAUCUGCGUACAUGUGUACAUUUGAGGAUUUGCAGACAUUAGGCAGAUCAUUUAUAAAUAAUGUAAAUAGUAGGGGGCCGAGAAUGGAACCAUAGGCAACACCACACGUGACUGGGAUAGGGAGGGAGUCGCGGUCAGAAAUGGACACAUAUUGCGGGCGAUCCGAUACAUACAAUCGAAACCAGGUUAGCAAACGAUCACCAAUACCUGAGUUUUUGAGUUUGUGCAGUAGAAUGUCGUGGUCUACUUUGUCAAAUGCCUUUGCAAAAUCAAGGAAAAUAGCUCCAGUUAGGUCUCAUUGUUCCAUGCCAGUUUGGAUGUCAUUGCAAACUUUUAAGAGGGCAGUUGUAGUGGAGUGAUUCUGGCGAAAGCCCGACUGAUCAGGGGUCAGAUAGUUUGAUUGUUGGUAGUACUCACUCGGAUCUGACGUCGGCAUGGGUGGAGAGUUCCCCAGCACAGAGGGAGCCUGGUGCUGGAGAAAAGUAAGUGGCUGAAGGGGUUUUAACCCAGGGGGGGCUCCGAGGGUGGGUGGGACCUAGUAGUGCCAGGAAAACAAGUUUGUUUUCCUGGCACUAUAGCGCUUCUUUAAAAACUGAAGUGGAAAUAUCACAUUUCUAAAUCUUAGUGACAUUUGAAAAGUUGGAGAAUAAGUGGUUUCUUUUAAGUACUCGAAUACAAAUGAUUCCCAUUACACUAAAUUCCUUGCUACUAGCAGUAAUGUGUUUUGUUUUUUUUUGCUCGUAGCAAUGCUUUUCAAAAAUGUGUUUCCUUAGUCACCAUUUAACUGGCAAAAAUGUCUGGUUAGCUUCCUUUACGUUUUUG
Pelobates cultripes (western spadefoot toad) is the source of this 1661-nucleotide non-coding RNA. The record is from the annotation of a GenBank genome assembly. NCBI's taxonomy places the organism in Eukaryota, Metazoa, Chordata, Amphibia, Anura, Pelobatidae.